GAUUCCCUGAGUAGCGGCGAGCGAAACGGGAUUAGCCCAAACCAAGAGGCUUGCCUCUUGGGGUUGUAGGACACUCUGUACGGAGUUACAAAGGAACGAGGUAAAUGAAGAGGUCUGGAAAGGCCCGCCGUAGGAGGUAACAGCCCUGUAAUCAAAAUUUCGUUCUCUCCUGAGUGAAUCCUGAGUACGGAGGAUCGCUUGAAAUUCCGUCGGAAU
This 216-nucleotide ribosomal RNA is filed under the name Bacillus sp. (in: firmicutes). RNAcentral's name for it is "Bacillus sp. (in: Bacteria) partial 23S ribosomal RNA". It matches the Rfam family "Bacterial large subunit ribosomal RNA", at positions 233 to 443 of the family's 2925-position model. The record is from RNAcentral. Lineage: Bacteria; Bacillati; Bacillota; Bacilli; Caryophanales; Bacillaceae.